UAAUCUAUAUGAAACAAAUUCUCAUUUAAUUACGACAGAACCACACCUAACUACUCAAAAUCACUUGUGAUUUUGUGAAAUAUAACUUUUUAAGAUUUUAAUUGGAGU
This is a non-coding RNA of Populus trichocarpa (black cottonwood), 108 nucleotides long. The record is from Rfam. Lineage: Eukaryota; Viridiplantae; Streptophyta; Magnoliopsida; Malpighiales; Salicaceae.